This 530-nucleotide ribosomal RNA is filed under the name uncultured eukaryote. Its description in RNAcentral is "SSU rRNA". It matches the Rfam family "Eukaryotic small subunit ribosomal RNA", at positions 564 to 1115 of the family's 1831-position model. The record is from RNAcentral.
GUGCCAGCAGCCGCGGUAAUUCCAGCUCCAAAAGCGUAUAUUAAAGUUGUUGCAGUUAAAAAGCUCGUAGUUGAAGUUCUGGCUGUAUUGGGCCUCUGCACUUGAUGCGAAGGAACCAGCAGUCAUCCGCUUGCAAAUACAUGUUCUUCCUUAACCGGUAGACUGUAUAAGUAAGCAAUUUACCUUGAGAAAAACAGAGUGUUCCAGGCAGGUUUGUCCGGAAUGCAUUAGCAUGGAAUAAUAGAAUAUGACUAGAGUCGAUUUGUUGGUUAAAGGCUUUAGUAAUGAUUAAUAGGAACAAUCGGGGCAUUGGUACUCGUCAGUCAGAGGUGAAAUUCUAAGAUUUGACGAAGACUAACUGAUGCGAAAGCGUUUGCCAAGAAUGUUUUCAUUAAUCAAGAACGAAAGUUAGGGGAUCAAAAGACGAUUAGAUACCGUCCUAGUCUUAACUAUAAACUAUACCGACUCGGAUUCAGAUGAAUAUUAAAGUUCAUUUGGGACCGUAGGAGAAAUCAAAGUCUUUGGGUUCU